GACGAACGCUGGCGGCGUGCUUAACACAUGCAAGUCGAACGGGCCUGUCUUCUUUUUUGGGGGUGGGUUGAGUGGCGAACGGGUGAGUAUCACGUGAGUAACCUGCCCUUCGGUCCUGGAUAACCGCUUGAAAGGGCGGCUAAUACGGGGUGGUCCGGUUGGUCCGCAUGGGCUGGUCGGGAUAGAUUCACUGUUUUUGGUGUUUCGGCGGGGGAUGGGCUCGCGGCCUAUCAGCUUGUUGGUGGGGUGAUGGCCUACCAAGGCGGUGACGGGUAGGCGGACUGGGAGGGUGGGCGGCCACACUGGGACUGGGAUACGGCCCAGACUCCGGGGGGAGGGAGCAGUGGGGGGUAUUGAACAAUGGGCGGAAGCCUGAUGCAGCGACGUAGCGUGAGGGAUGGAGGCCUUCGGGUUGUGAACCUCUGUUUCCGGUGGUGAAGGCCCUGUCCGUGUGGUGGGGUUGACGGUAGCCGGGGAUGAAGCGCCGGCUAACUACGUG
RNAcentral lists this ribosomal RNA (499 nucleotides) under uncultured bacterium. RNAcentral describes it as "partial 16S ribosomal RNA". It matches the Rfam family "Bacterial small subunit ribosomal RNA", at positions 28 to 507 of the family's 1533-position model. The record is from RNAcentral.